AGAGUUUGAUCCUGGCUCAGAGUGAACGCUGGCGGUAGGCCUAACACAUGCAAGUCGAACGGCAGCACAGGAGAGCUUGCUCUCUGGGUGGCGAGUGGCGGACGGGUGAGGAAUACAUCGGAAUCUACCUUUUCGUGGGGGAUAACGUAGGGAAACUUACGCUAAUACCGCAUAAGACCUUCGGGUGAAAGCCGGGGACCUUCGGGCCUGGCGCGGAUAGAUGAGCCGAUGUCGGAUUAGCUUGUUGGCGGGGUAAAAGCCCACCAAGGCGACGAUCCGUAGCUGGUCUGAGAGGAUGAUCAGCCACACUGGAACUGAGACACGGUCCAGACUCCUACGGGAGGCAGCAGUGGGGAAUAUUGGACAAUGGGCGCAAGCCUGAUCCAGCCAUGCCGCGUGUGUGAAGAAGGCCUUCGGGUUGUAAAGCACUUUUGUUGGGGAAGAAACCGGCCGGAUUAAUACUUCGGCUGAAUGACGGUACCCAAAGAAUAAGCACCGGCUAACUUCGUGCCAGCAGCCGCGGUAAUAU
RNAcentral lists this ribosomal RNA (529 nucleotides) under uncultured bacterium. RNAcentral describes it as "bacterial SSU rRNA". It matches the Rfam family "Bacterial small subunit ribosomal RNA", at positions 8 to 526 of the family's 1533-position model. The record is from RNAcentral.